CAAUUCUUCUUUAAAAUGCGGAUAAAAUUUCGUAUUAAAAAUGUAAAUAGAAGAAUUAAAAUUCAAAAGCAGAAACAAAGACUAAUUGGUCAAAAGAAAUAUAUUAAGAUUUUAUUAUAAUAUAUCUAUUAAAAUGUUUUUUUUUUUUAACUAUUUCGUUUUUUUUUUAUUAUCGAACAUCUUUUCUUUGCUGUCAGCAGAAACAAUAAAAGCGAAGAGUGCAAAACGUAAAACGUUUGCUAUCUCUCUCUAGCGCUUGCCUCUCUGAGAUCUGAGAGAGCUGGGUGAAUAAACUGGUGAUCCUCCACUCAGCUGAUGACGUUACCUAUUAGUAAUUCUACCAUGCGUGUGACCACGGUUCCGUAAAAAUAAACAAAAGUGCAGUUAAAAGUGAAAAUGGACAAGCGGUAAGUAAUUUCUAAUUUGGUUUUGUGUGUUGUAUUAAGGAACUAAUUCUAUAUUUGCAGUUUAAAAGAAGCUCUUACUGGCUACGAAACUGAGGAAGUGAUUGAAUACGAUAUUGAAUUGAUAUUGAAUUUGAAAAGCUAUAGAACGAACAUUUGUUUUUCCAGGGCCCCAAUACCUGAACCCCUGGCGAUCGAAAAUAGAGUACUUGAGGCGCCAGAUUCUGAGGCGGGGGAAAUAAUGACAACGCGACCAAUAGGCGCGAGGUCCAUGCAUGCACGAAACAUUUGCCAAAUCCCUGCCUAACAUCAGGCUCGAGGACGGAGGGCAGCACAGACACACAUGCCAGCAAGAAAAACACCAACUACAACUAUUCAUCUUUGCACUUUUCUUGCUCAGCGCACUCUGACUCUGUCAAAGAUCAUGACGGACAACCGUUUUACUUCCAAAGAUUUAUCAAACUCCCUCAGGGAUUCGAAGAUGCGCCAGUGUUCGUCUAUGCGCAGCAGUGCCCAGGAGACUGCGGUCAUUGCGGCAAGUUUCGCAGCAACAAAAUACGACACACUACGGUUUGCAACCUUACUCAAAAGCCAUACGUAUGCCUACAGCUGUGCAGCUUGUAUUAUUCAAUAACAG
Molecule: long non-coding RNA, 1041 nt
Filed under: Drosophila guanche
Lineage: Eukaryota; Metazoa; Arthropoda; Insecta; Diptera; Drosophilidae
Source: RNAcentral